This 378-nucleotide unclassified non-coding RNA is filed under the name uncultured Thermoleophilia bacterium. RNAcentral describes it as "contains 16S-23S intergenic spacer region". The record is from RNAcentral. Lineage: Bacteria; Bacillati; Actinomycetota; Thermoleophilia.
UCCGAGUUGUCCCCGGCAGUCUCCUACGAGUCCCCGGCAUAAUCCGCUGGCAACAUAGGACAAGGGUUGCGCUCGUUGCGGGACUUAACCCAACAUCUCACGACACGAGCUGACGACAGCCAUGCACCACCUGUGAUCCUGCCCGUAAGGGAAGCCGUGUUUCCACGGCGGUCAGGAACAUGUCAAACCCUGGUAAGGUUCUUCGCGUUGCGUCGAAUUAAACCACAUGCUCCGCUGCUUGUGCGGGUCCCCGUCAAUUCCUUUGAGUUUUAGCCUUGCGGCCGUACUCCCCAGGCGGGGCGCUUAAUGCGUUAGCUUCGGCACGGACGGAGUCGACACCGCCCACACCUAGCGCCCAUCGUUUACGGCAUGGACUAC